AAAGCUUUCGUAGCUUUUUAACUAUUGUUUCCUGUUGGGGUGUGAUAUUGUGAUGUUCAAACUAAUCACUUCUGAGGAGCAUUUGUGAAUUUCCAGAGUACGAAAGAAAAGUCACUGCAGUAGGUGACUCAAUUCCACGUCUGAUUUUGCUAAAAUGCUGUCCAAGCUAGUGGGAAAAAAUAGUGGGCAUUUGGUAUCAGUUUUAUAAUUGGGUUUUUCCAUAUUAGAAUGGGAAUUUUGUGAAGACUCAAUUAAAAGGAGUGUCCUCCUAUUCUUCUGUCACCCAUCAGACUGAGUUGCACACGAAUGCCAGCAUGCUGUCAUACAUACUCUUCUCUUGUUUGCUGCUCUCUGUGCAAGCACAGAAUUGCAAUGUCCGUGACAUUAUCCGGUACACAAAACGCCUGCUUGAUGAAAGUUCUGAAAGUUGCCCAUGUAAGGAGACUGCUGUCAGUUCAUGUUCAUGUCUUCCCAUUGCUGAGCCUGGCCAUGAAUUGGCGUGCUUUGUGGAAGGAACCGAACACAUGCUGAAAAACAACGUAUCUUCAAACGCGGUGAUCACAAGGCUUAACCGAACCUUUCAGACUCAGCUGGAUAGAAACCUCUGCGAA
Apaloderma vittatum (bar-tailed trogon) is the source of this 611-nucleotide long non-coding RNA. RefSeq lists it as uncharacterized. The transcript is spliced from 4 exons. The record is from RefSeq and is a predicted model, not a curated record. The annotation marks the transcript as partial. Lineage: Eukaryota; Metazoa; Chordata; Aves; Trogoniformes; Trogonidae.